RNAcentral lists this microRNA precursor (79 nucleotides) under Cricetulus griseus (Chinese hamster). RNAcentral's name for it is "mir-463". Lineage: Eukaryota; Metazoa; Chordata; Mammalia; Rodentia; Cricetidae. The record is from RNAcentral.
UAUCCAAUAUAGUAUAUCUAAUAUGGUAUAUUAUCCCUUAUGGUUCAAAGGAUGGACAGCAAAUUAGGUAAAGCAGUAU